UUGAGGCUUCUAUAAAAGGAGCCUCAAGGCUCCAAUUUAUUCACAAUGCCCCAUCACUUCAUGGGCACGCAGUGAGCUGGACUAACUGGCUCGUGCAUUCAUGGAGCCGAAAUAGUUCGGCUUCAUAGUAGUAAAUAUUUUUUGAACACUAUCUUUGCACUUGCGACGAAAGGUUGCUGACACCUUGCCCCCUCUCUGUCAAGGAUCUCAUCUGCCCUCGCAAGCCAGCGUUCUUCUCCGAAAAACUUGAGUAAUUAUUUGUGGGUUUUGGUAAUCUGCCCCUCCCAAGCCAGCGUUCUUAUCCGAAAAACUUUUGAGAGUGCGGCGCUUCAAUAUAUGUUGGGUCGUUAUUUAUUCAUUUUGGUGGGGACUUCUGUGCUUCUGUGCCUUAAUAUAAGGUGAGUUAUGGGUUCUUCUCGUUCGAGUCUGUGUUCUACUCAUUGGGUUAUUUUGACAGUGUGUUGUAAUUUAAGGUGAAUUCUUAUUGAUUCUGUGUUGAUGAGGCUUUGGGUUCUUUGAUCAUUAUUUGUUCAAAUGUGUUUUUGAUAUAUUGAAUUGUGAUGUUUUGACA
Molecule: long non-coding RNA, 571 nt
Organism: Ipomoea triloba (trilobed morning glory)
Lineage: Eukaryota; Viridiplantae; Streptophyta; Magnoliopsida; Solanales; Convolvulaceae
Exons: 3
Source: RefSeq, a predicted model, not a curated record